RNAcentral lists this ribosomal RNA (256 nucleotides) under uncultured bacterium. RNAcentral describes it as "partial 16S ribosomal RNA". It matches the Rfam family "Bacterial small subunit ribosomal RNA", at positions 524 to 777 of the family's 1533-position model. The record is from RNAcentral.
UACGUAGGUGGCAAGCGUUGUCCGGAUUUACUGGGCGUAAAGAGCGCGCAGGCGGUCGUUCAAGUCGCGUGUGAAAGCCCCCGGCUCAACUGGGGAGGGUCACGCGAUACUGAUCGACUCGAAGGCAGGAGAGGGUAGUGGAAUUCCCGGUGUAGUGGUGAAAUGCGUAGAUAUCGGGAGGAACACCAGUGGCGAAGGCGGCUUCCUGGCCUGUUCUUGACGCUGAGGCGGCGAAAAGCUAGGGGAGCAAACGGGG